Molecule: long non-coding RNA, 12030 nt
Filed under: Selaginella moellendorffii
Lineage: Eukaryota; Viridiplantae; Streptophyta; Lycopodiopsida; Selaginellales; Selaginellaceae
Description: long non-coding RNA (SMOE_LNC001369)
Source: RNAcentral
UUCGGGGUUUUCUGCUCUUGGGUGUGAUCGUGUGGAACAUGUUUAACGUGUUUGUCAGCUUGAAUGCUGUGGGAAGUGAGCCCCGGCUUGCCACCUCAAAGACACUACUCCAGCAGCUCGACGGGAUCUCGUUCUUGGUGACUACAACUUCAACAGUUCAAGUCACUCCAUCUUGGAUUAUCUUCUUUGCAGCGUGCUCGUUUGCAAUCUUUGUGCUUGCCACAGUACCUUUCGGUGUGUACGUUCGCAUGCGCUACGUGGAAAGAAAAGAAGAGGUAACUGUACCAGCUUAAAUAUAUAAUUAAUAUGUAUUCUUUGAUGAGUGCCACAAAAUUUGGAUAUAGAUAGAGCUCAAGAAAAAGAGAAACUGAUUAAAAUGAAAGUAAGUAAAAAGUGUCAACCCACUCAAUUUCAUGCUGUGUAGAGUAUCUCUCAUGUGUUACAUACUUUUGGUAUCUGGAAUGUGUAUAGUUUUUGCUUUUCUAAGGCAUACAGCUUGCUUUCAUUAAGCAGUCUUUAUCUAUUGUAUUUGAAAGCAACGGUUCCAAGCAUCCGGGCUACUGUCUUUGGAAUAGAAGUUACUUACAGCCAGCUCUCGUGCUUGAUUGCAUUCGCCGCGCCUUUUUUCUUCCUCGUACAAGUAGGCCGUGGCAUUGCCAUAGCUUCUAUGCUAUGCUGCUCAAUGUUCUCUUCUAACCAUAUAUGAUAACUCUUGUUGCAUGAAUGUGGAUUUAAGAGAAUUUCUAAGCCCACCACGGGGUGUUUUUGAAGAUUCCCGACCAUGGCAUGGAGCACACUGGUGGAGUGAAGUUUUGUCUCCUCCUGGUGCCUGAGGCGCAUCGAAUAACAAUAAUUUACUAUCAUAGCGCAGGUGUUCAGUCGUAGCGUGAAUCGCCAGAAAAUCUCAUGACCCUCAACAGCAGAGCUCAAGAGAAAUAGAAACUGACUAGAUAUACUCCUACGAAUUUUGCGGCAUCCAGCGGCUUGAGACUAUGAGCACAAAAAGACCAGCCCCACAUAAUGUGUGUGGUUUACGAAUUAUAUCCAGGGAUGAUUGCGUCUUUCAACGCAGCAAUAGCACAUUACUUCAGUAUCGUGAUCUAUGAUCAAUUUUUUAUCCAAGAGGGCAAAAGAGAAUAAGUCUUUUAUAAAACUAGUAGUGUAGAAUGCCGUUCUAAUGAGUGCUCUCAAGAGAACAGCCAGCCACGCCAUUGAAGACUUCGCAACCGUGAUUCGCCACUGUGCCAAAUCCAAGGACUUGGCAAAGGGUCGCUGGAUACACAGCCAGAUCAUUUCAGAUCAAAAGGAAUACAGAGAGAACAUUUUCCUGGCAAAUCUAAAAAUGCGGAAUGCAAUUGCAUGGACAUCAAUGCUUGCUGGAUAUGCAAAAAUCGGAGGUAUCUUAGCCUCUCGAGGAUUCUUUCGAAAGAUGCCCCAGCAUGACACUAUAUCAGCUACUGCAAUGGUUUCGGCAUUUGCCGCGAGGGGCAAUGCGCCUUGUUCGAGAAUAUGCCGGAGAGGAACGUCUUCUCAUGGACGGCAUUGCUCCAGGGAUAUGCCGAGAAUCGUCUUCUAGACAAGGCAAAGAGCUACUUUGACAAGAUGCCAGCAUGGACUGUGCUCGUCGUUUCAUAUGCUCAAUCCGAGUGGCUUGAGAUUGCACAAGACUUGUUUGUGGAGAUGCCCGAGCGGAGCAUAGUGACUUGGAAUGCCUUGUCGGCAGUGAUUGGGCAUGCCAAGUCUUUGGAGGAGGUGAAGCUUUUCCUUGUCACUAUGCCCGCAUGGAACUUGGUGACCAAAAACACAAUCUCUAUGAUUAAGAAAGUUAAACAAAGUGAAUCCACUAGUUGACUUGGCUAAUGCUUCUGUCAUGAGCUUGCUGGAAGUCAUCGUUGGUGGAUCGAACCACAGCUAUGCAAGACUCUAUUGCAGAAGGGAAAGACCAUGGAAAUGAAGAGCGAGAACAACUACAACUUCAAUGUUAUACCAGGAUCUCUUCCCGCGGUCUAAGAACAUUGACUUGUUUCCGGAGAACGAGCAACCGCUGCUUUGGUGGUGUUAUUGCAAGAUGAACUGCUUCAGACUUCUUGUACGCUGUGCACAGGCUGAGGCCGAACUAUUUGCUGCUUCCUGCGAACGCUCUCAAAUUUGCACGACAAUCUCCUUGAAAUUCAGGUCAAUUCUCUCUAAUCUCAACAACCAACUCGAGUCACUUAUACAGAUGAUAGAAAGCCUCAAGAUGAUCACUCUCUCGUAUCUACUGUCAAAGAAAUCCCAGCUUGGGACACACAGGGAAUUCUAACUCCUAAGGAGCACCAGCCUGCCUCACGAAUUCUCAAAAACUAGCUUAUAUACUACCUACGCUGUCAUUCCGUGAUCCUCUUGGGUCACAACUGCAGACGCCCGAUAGCAAAUUCCUCCAGGCAUCAUUAGAAAAUCCUCUGCGCCACCUUGCCACCUGACCUUGGGCGGCACAAGCUUUAAGAGCAGACGCAUAGGUUUGUAAAGAAGGGAGAGCACUUCGGCAGAGAGAUCAAGGAUUACUAUUAGGAUUGUCAUGAGGGAGUUGCAAGCAGUUUGAUCGUGAAAGGUCACCAAAGUUGUGGGACUUCCAUUGUUUAAGAUGGGAGUGUUUGUGCUCGUGGGUGUGACGUGUUCAUAAAGCUUGUGAGCCUCGCCUUGCCACUUCAGAAACACUUCUCCAGCAGCUCAAUGGGAUCUCGUUUCUAGCGACUACAACCUCAACAUUGCAAUCUAAUUUGAAUUUUUCAGUUACUUUUGGUGUGUACAUUCGCAUGAAAUAACUGAAGAACUGUGCUUCCAAGCGAAAUUCAAGGUUAAAAUGAGAGGGGUACACUGCAGCACGAAAAGCAAAGAUCCAAAUGCUACACAACUGUGCCAAAUCCUUUUUUCCUUUUUUAAAGUAUCAACUUUAAACUUUAUUCUUCUUUCUUUUCAUAUUCACUUUAGUCAGGCUUUCUUUUCAUAAAGCAAAAUUCACAUUCGGUUUUGAAGACACCCCCUUAUUGAUAGUCUUAUAUUUCACCUCUGAAAUUAAGUAUGAUAUAUCUAAGAUGUGGUGUACCAUAGAAACUCAAAGCAAUAGUCCAAAUACCAUAAACAUUUCAAAGCGUGUAAAAUGUGAGAGAACCAUAUUCAUAAUUUACGACACUAGGUGGACCUCCCAAGCGAUUGGAAUAGAAGCAGCCACAUUUCCACCAAAAUGCAUGAAAACUCGAAUCCAUUCAUUAACUAUUUACAUGCUAGCAUGCGCUAAAGAUCUGGCCCACCAGAAGCAUUAGAAAGCCGAGUCAACUUGUGGUUACACGUUGCUUGGCUUCAUUGAGUCGGCCUGGAGAACAUUAAAGAGAAACAAAACAAGAAAAUGGGACUUACGAGCAUGCAAACAAGCACAAUGCAAGGCUUUUCAUGAGCAGGGCAGAAUGGGUGCGAGGCGACACGCGAAGAACAGCCAUUGGCGUGGAUCUGGGCGACGAUGCUCUCUCUUGGGGGCUGUGGAGUCGGGAAAUUCAGAGCCCUCAGCAAGAUAAUGCUGAGAAUCGUCUUCUAGACACAAAACGCUACUUUGACAAGAUGGAAUCUUGGACUGUGCUCGAUGCUCAAUGUGAGCGGCUUGAAGUCGGACGAGGCUUGUUUGCUGAGAUGCUAAGUGAGUAUAGCGACUUGGAAUGCCUUGUUGACAGCGUAGGGCAUACCAAAGAAGACUGGCAUUUUCUCAAACAAGGCUGCCCCUUGCAGUUGCCGAUAUAGUGUCAUGCCGAGUCUUGCAAGCGUUGAUGUCCAUGCGAUUGCAUUUCGAGGUAACAUGGAAUCAACAUAUGCUUUACGCUGGACAUACGCAUAUGCUGUUGUCCACAACAAGGGUUAGCAUCAAGGAGAAUCUUGCAUAUGAACCAAUCCAUGCAACAGUAUCUGGCAUCUCGGCCAAGAUAAGUUUGGCAUCUUCCAGAUGCCUAUUUUGGGCAUAUGUGGUCACCAUUGUAGACCACAAUAAAACGCUCUUGGCUCGCUUGGCAUCACUUGUAAUACCACAUUUUCCAUAGAUCUGGACGAGAAGAUUUUCCAGGAAAACAUUUUCCUUUCGAUCUGAAAGGAUCUGGCUGUGUAUCUUUUUUGCGUCAAUGGCGUUGCUGGCAGCUCUCCCUCGAGCACUCUUUAGGACAGCAUUCUAGAACACUACUAAAGCCUUUGAGCAUUCUCUUUUGCUCCAAUCUCGCUACCUCAUCUUUCAUCCCCUUGGAGAGACAGACAUAAAGCCCCGAAUCCUCAUGAACUUUACAAGAGCCGACCACGCAGGGAAAUCCGUCUUAAAUGGCAUGCUAACGAUCAGAUCCAGAACCUCCCGGAGCUCCCUGGCGCGACACAAGAGAUCAACUCUGCCAUGUAAGUGCCAAUCCACAGUCUUGCAUUGCGAGAAACAAUUCCCUCGAUUCCUCGAAAAACCCACCCUACCAAAGAGCGCCUGGCCGGAGAAGCUUCACACUGGAGCAUUUCCCUCAAGAGCUCCAGAGCAUCGGGCAUAUGCCCAAACUGGGCAUAUGCUCCAAUCAUUGCAUUCCACACGCAUCGACAUAUACCCAGAGGGUGCUUAUGGACACGGCCAAGGAGGUGUUCAAGCUGGCGAAGGAUCCUGCUGUGGACGUCUGGGGGCCCAUGAUGGGAUCUUGAGACAGCCAAGGCGAUGGUGCACAGGAUGAAAAACCCGAGGCACGCCAUUGUUCGACAUCAAGGCUGGAGAAAUCAGCGAUGCACAGGACGUCUUCAACAGGAUGAUGAUUACCUCGAUCAGGCACUAUUCUCUGAGGCAAGGCGCAUCUUCAAGGUCAUGCCCAACACAGUCGCGUGGAACGCGAUCAUCCCCACUCAUGGAGAGAUGAGGAGGUGAGAAUUCUGUUCGAAGGGAUGGGAGCGCAGCGAAACUUGGAGUCGUGGAAUGGACGUGACGACUUGGAAUAUUGUAAUCACGUGAAAGCUGAUGGCACUCUUGAUAAGCUUGUCACUAAGGUAUUUGCAGUUUGCAUGAUUUUGUUUUGUAGAUAGUCCUCUUUAUUGCGGAAGUUUGUCGAGCUCUAUUUGAGGCUUUAUCCAAGGUCUUUUCCUCGGCAAGAAUGUAGUGGUAGUGUAGACCGAGAAGACGUCCUCGGCGGCUUGGAGGUGCCCGGCUGGGCGUAAGCAGAGAUGAUGAUCUCGAGAGAGCAGCCAGCCACCCCAUUGAAGACUUCGCAUACUGUGAUUCGUCACUGUGCCAAAUCGAAGGACUUGGAUCAUUUCAGAUGGCAUGCAAAGUCUUUGGAGGAGGCGAAGCUGUUCCUUGUCACCAUGCCACUUGGACCACGUAAAUGAAGAGCGAGAACAACUACAUCUUCGAUGUUACCAAUAUCGGUCUAAGCAAGAACAUUGACUUGUUUGCGGAGAAUGAGGAGCCCCAUUUAUCACGACGAUGAACUGCUUCAGACUUCUCAACACUCAGAUGAGGCCGAAUUAUUUGCUGCUUCCUACGAACGUCUCAAAUGUGCAGAACAAUCACCAUGAACUUCAUCCAAGGACGAAGAGGUGUGACAAUCCUUGUGCUUGUACUCAACAGGUUUCCUUCCCUUGUCGUUUCGAUGCUUGCCAUCACGCUGGAGCCAUCACGCUGGAGCCAUCACGCUGGGUGUGUUUCUACUACGAGAAAAGGUCUAACAUCUCAUUUAUGCUUUCGCAAUUACGAUGUAUUCACGUUUAACUGAAUCCACUGUGCUCCGGAGCUAGUUCCUAAAUCUUGAAACUGUAAAGCUGUAAUUAUCGUAAGGUGGCGGGAAAAGAAAAAGCUUGGUAUGUUUCUCACUCGCAGUUUAUUGCCUGGAAGCAUUUCAACUUCAAGAGUUGCCUGAGAUCAGGCACCUGAGACUGUGGACUGUUCUUAUCACCAUUGCCUGUUGCCUGUUGUUCCCUGGAGUUGAUACUCCUUAGGCUCUUCACGAGGUAACGGCUUUCGAUGUUGGCUACCUUGUCCAUGGCCAUGAAUCUCUGUUGCUGCUAGACGACCGCUCUUCCAGACUCAAGAUACUUCCCUCCAGGAAGUAAAGAAAGCAAACAAAAUGUCCAGGGCUAAAUCCGAGUAAGAAGCAAAGUAUCGCCUUCUUGGUUUCGUCUGUGUCCAUAGUACGAGCACCCAAAGAGCCUGAGAAGACAUUCACAUACCACACUGCCCUUUCUCUGCAUGGUUUCGCGAAAGUCCAAUUGGUUGAGUAAACAAACACAUAAGGCCGGUCGUCAUUGCAGUGAAGGCGAAGAGCUUCUCUUUACGUUCCAGCGGCCUGGAGCAGGCCCGAGGUCCAGAGCUACUCUUCUUCUCUCGUUCAUUGGCUUGCACAGUUUUUAUGGAGAGUGUUCUGUUUCUUUCAUUUCUUCUCCUUUUUUUUUCUCCCAGUUAAGUAAGCAGCAGCUCCUACAGCUUACCGGGGAGAUCGAGAUCUCGUGCUGGGUUUUUGUUUUACAGGUAAGUUUGCGAGCUCUGGAGAAUUCGCACCCAAAAAAUGGCUGUCCAAGUUUCUAACAUCCAAUACGCCUCUGAAGCAUCCGUUGAUCCACACCAGAAAUGAUAAUCUUUACUCGAAGCGAAGUUCCCACUCGCCAGAUCCUUGUAUGUAUACUUUUGAGCCAAGCCUUGCAGUGCCUGUCAAGCCUGUGCUUCCAGAUCAUCAGCACGACCAAGCCAAGCGAAUGCUCUGCGACCACCCCGACGAGAGUGGAGAGACAUGGCCCUGUCCAGACACCGGAGGUUCAGCAGCGUUGUCAGGUUGAUGUUGCUGCUGCUUUGCUGCUCGUGUGAGGCUAAACUCCCGCAGGCCACCCGCGGAUAUGACUUGCAGUCAAUCUCGUCGAAAAGCCUGUCCAUUUCCUGUACGGAUUUAUCGGCACUUGAAAUAAGGCAUGGCUCUUCCUUCGUUGAUAUCUUGAGCCUUCGGCUAUUGUAUCCAGGCCUUGAUCCUAGACAAUAGAAAAGACGAAAAGAAAAAGUGUAAGUCACCUUUACCUGUCUAGCUGAGAAGUAAAAGCUGAGGCCAGCUGAUCCAGCUAUGCUCACAAUCGCGAUAAGAAGAAGCUGACAAAAAGUACCUGGGGGAAAAGCAAUGCUAAUGAGUUCCUUGUCACCAUUGACAAACUGGGAUAGCUGAAACCUGGAGUAUCAGCGAGCAUAGCCCCCCUAAAAUGGCAGAUGCAAGAGAAACGUGCCGCAUCGUGUGUCUUCCGGAUCCAGUCCGUUACGACACCCGAAUGACUUCAUCGUCGACUUCGUCUAGUGCCUGUCCACGCGACAAUUGAAGUUAGUUUCAGACGAAAUUCGAAGGUAUACAGACCUGGAUGUCAUCUGGUGGAAGGCAAGAUUUUCCACGUAGAAAGUUGAUCAAGCUCGAUUUUCCCACUCCAUUUGGACAAAAACAACUGAUGUUUUAUCUUCAUGAAGCCCCAUACCAGUCUCUACACUGCAUAUGUAUGGUUUAUAUCCCGACUCCAUCAGCUGCUUCUCCCAGCUAUCUUUCAUCUGAAAACUAAAAAUGAUCCUUCUAUCAGCUUUGCAAAAGAAAAUAAAACGGGUACCUCCUGAGUAACAAGAUCCGCCUUACUGAGCACCACUGCUAGAGGUAUUCCAGUAGACUCGCCUUUGACUAAGAACCUAUUCAUUAUCACAGGAUCCAAGCGCGGCCUAUCCAGCACCAGUAGCAAAUCAACAUUAGCCACUGGUGGAUCCGAAGUGUCCCAUCGUCUCUGUAGAACAUCUUCAAUCAUCUCGCGUUUGUCUGUCUAAUCGAUUCCCGAGACUAAAACACUAUCACCAACCAUGACUCUUCUCCUGAUCUUUUGGAGAAAUGCUCUCACCACGCAAAGAAGCUUAAUCCCUGCUCUAAAGCCCUCUUCUUGCAAGCUCAUCGAGCGCUCCAGCUCGUUCACCACGACAGUCAUGAAAUUCACCUGCGCCGACGUGACCUGACCGACUGCUCGAUCCUCGGCUAGAAGAUUGUCGAAUCGCCUCACAUCCGUUACAUCACGCAGCUGCUUCCCCCUCAUCGGCAGCCGCGUAACCUAGACCUAGAACACAUGGCCAAAAUUCUCUUUUUGGCGCCAAAAUCGGGUUUGGUCCCCUGGUUCUUGGGAGGGAAAAAUGGACAAUCGGCACAGCACGUAGAAGCUCCGGAUGUGCUGCUGCCACCGGGUUGCCACCUCAAAGACACUACUCCAGCAGCUAAGAGAUCUCGUUCUUGGUGACUACAACUUCAACAGUUCAAGUCACUCCAUCUUGGAUUAUCUUCUUUGCAGCGUGCUCGUUUGCAAUCUUUGUGUUUGCCACAGCAACUUUCGGUGUGUACGUUCGCAUGCGCUACGUGGAAAGAAAAGAAGAGGUAACUGUACCAGCUUAAAUCAUGCAUGUUUAUAUAAUUAAUAUGUAUGCCAGAAAAUUUGGAUAUAGAUAGAGCUCAAGAAAAGGCACCCCACUCAAUUUCAUGCUAUGUAGAGUAUCUCUCAUUUCCUACAUGCUUUUGGUAUCUGGAAUGUGUAUAGCUUUUGCUUUUCUAAGGCAUACAGCUUGCUUUCAUGAAGCAGUCUUUAUCUAUUGUAUUUGAAAGAAACAGUUCUUUGGAAUAGAAGUUACUUACAGCCAGCUCUCGUGCUUGAUUGCAUUGCCAUAGCUUCUAUGCUAUGCUUCUCAAUGUUUUCUUCUAACCAUAUAUGAUAAAGUAAACGCUUUCCAAGUGCUUUUUUAAGUUCCCUCUUGUUGCAUGAAUGUGGAUUUAAGAGAAUUUCUGAACCCACCACCGGGUGUUUUUGAAGAUUCCCGACCAUGACAUGGAGCACACUGGUGGAGUGAAGUUUUGUCUCCUGGUGCCUGAGGCGCUUUAACGACCUCUUAUAUCGAAUAACAAUAAUUUACUAUCAUAGCGCAGGUGUUCAGUUGAAGCGCGAAUCGCCAGAAAAUCUCAUGACCCUCUACAGCAGAGCUCAAGAGAAAUAGAAACUGACUAGAGCCACUCCUACGAAUUUUACGGCAUCCAGCGGCUUGAGACUAUGAGCGCCAAUUUGCUCGUCCGAAUGUAUGGCAAAUGCGGUAGGCCAAAUGAUGCCAAGUGAGUGUUUGACGACAUCGACGCCAAGACGUUUUCUCGUGGUGACUGCAUAUGCCCAAAACGUGUAUGCCCGAUCGGGAUACUGUUGCAUGGAAUACAAUUCUUAGAGCGUACGCACAGCAUGGCCAUGUAGACGAGGCAAAAGAUUCUCUUUUUUUUAUUCCAAAUCCCAACUUUUGUCGUGGACAACAAUGCUUACAGCAUAUGCCCAAAGCGGGUUUAUGUCUAGCGCGAAGCGUAUGUUUGAUUCUAUGUCACCUCGCAAUGCAAUUGCAUGGAAAUGAAUGCUUGCUGGAUAUGCAAGACUCGGAGGUAUCUUAGCCUCUUCAGGAUUCUUUCGAAAGGUGCCCCAGCAUGACACUAUAUCAGCUACUGCAAUGGUUCCGGCAUUUGCUGCGAGGGGCAAUGACAGAGAGGCGUGUGCCUUGUUCGAGAAUAUGCCGGAGAGGAACGUCUUCUCAUGGACGGCAUUGCUCCAGGGAUAUGCUGAGAAUCGUCUUCUAGACAAGGCAAAGAGCUACUUUGACAAGAUGCCAGCAUGGAAUCUUGUGUUGUGGACUAUGCUCGUUGUUUCAUAUGCUCAAUGCGAGCGGCUUGAGAUUGCACAAGACUUGUUUGUUGAGAUGCCCGAGUAGAGCAUAGUGACUUGGAAUGCCUUGUUGGCAGUGAUCGGGCAUGCCAAGCCUUUGGAGGAGGCAAAGCUUUUCCUUGUCACUAUGUCCGCAUGGAACUUGGUGACCAAAAACACAAUUUCUCAGAUCAAGGAAGUCAAACAAAGUGAAACCACUAGUUGACUUGGCUAAUGCUUCUGUCAGGCUUGCUGGAAGAGGAGGCGUCAUCGUUGGUGGAUCGAACCACAGCCAUGCAACGCGGGAUACACAAGACUCUAUUGCAGAAGGGAAAGACCAUGGAAAUGAAGAGCAAGAACAACUACAACUUCGAUGUGGUACCAGGAUCUCUUCCUGCGGUCUAAGAACAUUGAGUUGUUUCUGGAGAACGAGCUUACAAAAAAGUUAGUAACUUUUUUCUAUAAACUUCCAUUCCAAUCCAACAAGUAUCCACUGCAUAAUCUGUUUGAGCACAGAAGAUUGGAGCUAUGGCGGAGUCACAAGGCGCAGCCAAACUGAUGUUGAAUCCAAGGGAGAAACUCACUGGAGCACUUGUGAUUGGCAUCGCUUUUGCAACUUUCGUGGCAACACUUGUGGUCACUGCCAUCUUCGCGGUUCCAAAGAUGAUCAAGCCACCUCCAGGGGAUUACUACCCGGAUAUCGUCAAGGAGGACAAGUGCUCUACUUGCUGGGAAGCCACCGUCUUUGCCACAAGCUCCGAUCCAUUCUACCAGUGGGUCUGUGAUUCCUCACUCCCGGAUACUCUUAACGCCUCGCUGAGGGGAACGCUUGCAUGCCAGAGGGCCAGCAUCUGGCGUGUUUCAGGCAAUAUCACCUCUGCAAAUGAGAGCUCCUUGUAUAGCUCGCCAGAUCCCCACAUUCUUGGAGGAGAGCUUGUCAAGAGAAGCAGGACUCUGGUGUGGAAGAUGACAGUCUACUGGGGGAUGAGUGUAAGAGCUUGUUUUGACUUGCUAAAUCCCAUGGAGGAUUCAUGUCUCUACACAACGCCGAUCGUCCAGACCGCUCUUGGAUCAUAUGCAGCGCUCUUGGUUGGCAUUCCGUAUCGGAAGGCUUCACAGAACCCAUAUGCCGUGGAGAGCAGCGCUUUGUAUCUGGACAAUAGUGCGGUGUAUUUGACGAACUUUGUGAGCAACGCUAGAACCGGUGCUGGAUUGAAGCUCAAAAGCUCUGGCAAAGGAAUCAAGAACUACGUCUACGAAGGCCAGGUUUGCAACAGGGCCUCCCCGAUCCUCAUCACUCCGGACGUGGUUUCCUACAUGGGUUUUCCAAGCUUACAGUGCGCUUGCGAUGGUAUCCUUUGCCUUGUGGGUCUGAACAUCACUGGCACAGCUUCGAAUGAGGAUAAGAUUCUUCCUCUGAAACUAAAUGCCUCCGGUUGUGGCCAGGGCAUGUCGUUUUGGGAUUGCGAUAGAUAUCCUUUGAAAGAGCAUAGAACCGAAUUCUUCUCUUACAGCCCGAGAUGGGAGAGAUCGAUACUACUCGAGGUGAAUUUCAGCACAAACUUCGAGGAGGCAAUCCGUGGUCCCAACCAGAUACUCAAAGACUUCGUUUCUUGCACCGAGGACACAAUCCAGAAGAAGGAUCCGAGCGAUGACACACUAGUGUCAGAUCUGCAGGAGUGCUUGAAAAGUCCAAUUGUUGCCGUGAGCCCUAGCCCUCGCAAAAGAAUCGUAAAUGGGGAAUUGCUGAAAGAUCUCAUGGACACCUUCAAUAACAAGGUUCCAAACGACAAGGACGACAACUUCUUGUGUGGCAUGGACGAAGGCCAGUCAAAGCUGGCGGACAAGUUGUGCACGGUAAGCUUGGACGAUCUAAACAUGCAAGUUCUGGAGAAGCGCUUGAGGGAGUCUUUAACGGACGUGCAAAGGUUCAUGAAGGAGGAAUGGGAGAGCACUUGGUCGCAGAGAUCAGACGUAACUGUUGGGAUUGUCACAGCGGUGGUGACCAUCCUUGUGACCAUCUGGGGGAUGUUCAACAAGGAUUUGCAAAAGGUGGAGGCGUUGAUCUUGAAGCGCGCAGGCAAAUUCACCAGUGUUGUGAAAGUGACAAUAGGACUUCCACUGUUUAAGACGGGAAUUCGGGGUUUUCUGCUCUUGGGUGUAACAUGUUUAACGUAUUUGUCAGCUUGAAUGCUGUGCGAAGUGAGCCCCGGCUUGCCACCUCGAAAACACUACUUCAGCAGCAGCAGGGGACCUUGUUCUUCUUGACUACAACUUCAACAGUUCAAGUCACUCCAUCUUGGAUUAUCUUCUUUGCAGCAUGCUCGUUUGCAA